AUUGAACGCUGGCGGAAUGCUUUACACAUGCAAGUCGAACGGCAGCACGGGGCAACUUGGUGGCGAGUGGCGAACGGGUGAGUAAUACAUCGGAACGUGCCCAAUCGUGGGGGAUAACGUAGCGAAAGUUACGCUAAUACCGCAUACGAUCUACGGAUGAAAGCGGGGGAUCGCAAGACCUCGCGCGAGUGGAGCGGCCGAUGUCAGAUUAGGUAGUUGGUGGGGUAAAGGCUCACCAAGCCAACGAUCUGUAGCUGGUCUGAGAGGACGACCAGCCACACUGGAACUGAGACACGGUCCAGACUCCUACGGGAGGCAGCAGUGGGGAAUUUUGGACAAUGGGCGCAAGCCUGAUCCAGCCAUUCCGCGUGCAGGAUGAAGGCC
Molecule: ribosomal RNA, 384 nt
Filed under: uncultured bacterium
Lineage: Bacteria
Description: bacterial SSU rRNA
Rfam family: Bacterial small subunit ribosomal RNA
Source: RNAcentral